RNAcentral lists this ribosomal RNA (910 nucleotides) under uncultured organism. RNAcentral describes it as "bacterial SSU rRNA". It matches the Rfam family "Bacterial small subunit ribosomal RNA", at positions 462 to 1386 of the family's 1533-position model. The record is from RNAcentral.
AUGCGGUAUGACGGUACCCUUUCGAAUAAGAGGUUGCUAACUCUGUGCCAGCAGCAGCGGUAAAUACAGAGACCUCGAGCGUUAUCCGGAUUUACUGGGCGUAAAGCGUCUGUAGGGGGUUUGUUAAGUUCCAAGUAAAAUCUUAAGGCUCAACUUUAAGUUCGCUUGGAAAACUAAUAAACUGGAGUCCAGCAGAGGUGCAUGGAACUUGCGGUGUAGGAGUGAAAUCCGUUGAUAUCGCAAGGAACACCAAAGGCGAAGGCAUUGCACUGGGCUGGUACUGACCCUGAGAGACGAAAGCGUGGGGAGCAAAACGGAUUAGAUACCCGUGUAGUCCACGCCGUAAACGAUGGAUACUAGAUGUUCGGGGAUUCGACCCCCUGGGUGUCACAGCUAACGCGUUAAGUAUCCCGCCUGGGGAGUACGGCCGCAAGGCUAAAACUCAAAGGAAUAGACGGGGAUCCGCACAAGCGGUGGAGCGUCUGGUUUAAUUUGAUAGUAAGCAAUGGACCUCACCAAGGUUUGACAUCCUAUGACAACCCUGGAAACAGGGCUUCCUUCGGGCAUAGUGACAGGUGCUGCAUGGUCGUCGUCAGUUCGUGCCGUGAGGUGUUCCGUUAAGUCGGGAAACGAACGAAACCCUCGUCGCAUGUUACAAAUUUCAUGCGAGACUGCCCGGGUCAACCGGGAGGAAGGCGGGGAUGACGUCAGAUCAGCAUGGCCCUUAUACCUUGGGCUACACAGGCGCUACAAUGGCCGGUACAAAGGGUUGCAAAACCGCGAGGUGAAGCUAAUCCCAUAAAGCCGGUCCAAGUUCGGAUUGGAGGCUGCAACUCGCCUCCAUGAAGUUGGAAUCGCUAGUAAUCGUGGAUCAGCCAUACCACGGUGAAUACGUUCCCGGAUCUUGUAC